UUCUUGAGUGCGAUUCAACAACCCUGCCGAAGCUUUUUUAGCAGAGCAUAAUAAAAGCGCCACAAUAUAAGACUAAAAUGGACCUUCUCGAGAUUUUGCCCUCCAGCUUUGGAUAUGUCAUAUUAACUUUUCUUUACAGCUGGAUCAUGUUGUCCUAUCUUGGAGUCAAGGUUGGAGCUGCAAGAAAGAAGUACGACGUGAAGGCAGCACAAUUAAAUAUCCUACUAUGUACAGCGAUAAGGAACAGGUGUUCAACUGCAUCCAGAGAGCACAGCAGAACACUCUAGAGGUGUAUCCACAAUGGCUCGUCUUCCAGACUAUUGCGGCUCUUGUCUAUCCAGGCCGACGUGCGUGGUGUCUGCGGCUGGCACAACAGGAACCACUGUCAUGGCUGCUUCUGGAGCAUGAGCGAGAACAUGGUCGGGGAGAAGUGGAGCUGGAAUGUGUGUCUUGAUCAAAAAUCCCAUUUAUGCCUUCA
RNA transcript from Lampris incognitus (smalleye Pacific opah), 478 nucleotides. It is a transcript of the gene named microsomal glutathione S-transferase 3-like, with no coding region annotated. NCBI's taxonomy places the organism in Eukaryota, Metazoa, Chordata, Actinopteri, Lampriformes, Lampridae. The record is from RefSeq and is a predicted model, not a curated record. The transcript is spliced from 3 exons.